RNAcentral lists this ribosomal RNA (619 nucleotides) under uncultured Gammaproteobacteria bacterium. RNAcentral describes it as "bacterial SSU rRNA". It matches the Rfam family "Bacterial small subunit ribosomal RNA", at positions 8 to 624 of the family's 1533-position model. Lineage: Bacteria; Pseudomonadati; Pseudomonadota; Gammaproteobacteria. The record is from RNAcentral.
AGAGUUGUAUCCUGGCUCAGAUUGAACGCUGGCGGCAUGCCUAACACAUGCAAGUCGAGCGGCAGCGCGGGGUAACCUGGCGGCGAGCGGCGGACGGGUGAGGAAUACAUCGGAAUCUGCCCUUUUGUGGGGGACAACUCAGGGAAACUUGAGCUAUUACCGCAUGAUGUCGAGAGACCAAAGCUGGGGACCGUAAGGCCUGGCGCAGGAGGAUGAGCCGAUGUCGGAUUAGCUAGUUGGUAGGGUAAAGGCCUACCAAGGCGACGAUCCGUAGCUGGUCUGAGAGGAUGAUCAGCCACACUGGAACUGAGACACGGUCCAGACUCCUACGGGAGGCAGCAGUGGGGAAUAUUGGACAAUGGGGGCAACCCUGAUCCAGCAAUGCCGCGUGUGUGAAGAAGGCCUUCGGGUUGUAAAGCACUUUUGUUCGGGACGAAAUCGUUGGUAUUAAUACUACUAACGGAUGACGGUACCGAAAGAAUAAGCACCGGCUAACUUCGUGCCAGCAGCCGCGGUAAUACGAAGGGUGCAAGCGUUAAUCGGAAUUACUGGGCGUAAAGCGUGCGUAGACGGCGCAUUAAGUCAGCUGUGAAACCCCCGGGCUCAACCUGGGACCUGC